UACGAAGGUAGCUAGCGUUGUUCGGAAUUACUGGGCGUAAAGCGCACGUAGGCGGGCUGAUAAGUCAGGGGUGAAAUCCCGAGGCUCAACCUCGGAACUGCCUUUGAUACUGUUAGUCUUGAGAUCGGGAGAGGUGAGUGGAAUUCCUAGUGUAGAGGUGAAAUUCGUAGAUAUUAGGAAGAACACCAGUGGCGAAGGCGGCUCACUGGCCCGAUACUGACGCUGAGGUGCGAAAGCGUGGGGAGCAAACAGG
This 253-nucleotide ribosomal RNA is filed under the name uncultured bacterium. RNAcentral's name for it is "partial 16S ribosomal RNA". It matches the Rfam family "Bacterial small subunit ribosomal RNA", at positions 524 to 776 of the family's 1533-position model. The record is from RNAcentral.